CGUUGUCGUCAGCUCGUGUCGUGAGAUGUUGGGUUAAGUCCCGCAACGAGCGCAACCCUCGUCCUAUGUUGCCAGCGGGUCAUGCCGGGGACUCAUGGGAGACUGCCGGGGUCAACUCGGAGGAAGUGGGGAUGACGUCAAAUCAUCAUGCCCCUUAUGUCUUGGGCUUCACGCAUGCUACAAUGGCCGGUACAAAGGGCUGCGAUACCGCGAGGUGGAGCGAAUCCCAGAAAGCCGGUCUCAGUUCGGAUUGGGGUCUGCAACUCGACCCCAUGAAGUCGGAGUCGCUAGUAAUCGCAGAUCAGCAACGCUGCGGUCGAAUACGUUCCCGGGCCUU
RNAcentral lists this ribosomal RNA (337 nucleotides) under uncultured Cellulomonas sp. Its description in RNAcentral is "bacterial SSU rRNA". It matches the Rfam family "Bacterial small subunit ribosomal RNA", at positions 1047 to 1382 of the family's 1533-position model. Lineage: Bacteria; Bacillati; Actinomycetota; Actinomycetes; Micrococcales; Cellulomonadaceae. The record is from RNAcentral.